CGCUAAAAGAUAUUAUUUUUAGUAAAAUCUGCUCAAUGAAAUUAAAUAGCCGCAGAAUUUUUACUGUGCUAAGGUAGCAUAAUCACUAGUCUUUUAAUUAAAAACUUGUAUGAAGGAUUAAACAUUUUAAAAACUUUUUUAAAUUAAAAAGUAAAAUCUAUAUUAAAUAUAAAAUAUAUUUAUAAAAAAAAUAGACGACAAGACCCUAUCGAACUUAACAUUGUUUAGCUGGGGCAGCUAAUUAAACAUAAUUUUAAUUUUUAUUUUUAUAAAAAUAUCCAAUAUUAUUGAAUUUACCAAGUUACCGUAGGGAUAACAGCGUAAUUUAUUUUUUAAGCUCUAUUUGAAAAUGAGAUUACGACCUCGAUGUUGAAUUAUAUCUCCUUUUAGCGCAAUAGCCUUUUAGGAAGGUCUGUUCGACCUUUAAAUUUUUACA
This 436-nucleotide ribosomal RNA is filed under the name Mimetus sp. GH1416. Its description in RNAcentral is "partial 16S ribosomal RNA". Lineage: Eukaryota; Metazoa; Arthropoda; Arachnida; Araneae; Mimetidae. The record is from RNAcentral.